This 547-nucleotide ribosomal RNA is filed under the name Meyerozyma guilliermondii. Its description in RNAcentral is "eukaryotic LSU rRNA". It matches the Rfam family "Eukaryotic large subunit ribosomal RNA", at positions 83 to 646 of the family's 3401-position model. Lineage: Eukaryota; Fungi; Ascomycota; Pichiomycetes; Serinales; Debaryomycetaceae. The record is from RNAcentral.
GUAGCGGCGAGUGAAGCGGCAAAAGCUCAAAUUUGAAAUCUGGCGCCUUCGGUGUCCGAGUUGUAAUUUGAAGAUUGUAACCUUGGGGUUGGCUCUUGUCUAUGUUUCUUGGAACAGGACGUCACAGAGGGUGAGAAUCCCGUGCGAUGAGAUGCCCAAUUCUAUGUAAGGUGCUUUCGAAGAGUCGAGUUGUUUGGGAAUGCAGCUCUAAGUGGGUGGUAAAUUCCAUCUAAAGCUAAAUAUUGGCGAGAGACCGAUAGCGAACAAGUACAGUGAUGGAAAGAUGAAAAGAACUUUGAAAAGAGAGUGAAAAAGUACGUGAAAUUGUUGAAAGGGAAGGGUUUGAGAUCAGACUCGAUAUUUUGUGAGCCUUGCCUUCGUGGCGGGGUGACCCGCAGCUUAUCGGGCCAGCAUCGGUUUGGGCGGUAGGAUAAUGGCGUAGGAAUGUGACUUUACUUCGGUGAAGUGUUAUAGCCUGCGUUGAUGCUGCCUGCCUAGACCGAGGACUGCGAUUUUAUCAAGGAUGCUGGCAUAAUGAUCCCAAACC